This 516-nucleotide long non-coding RNA is filed under the name Pan troglodytes (chimpanzee). Its description in RNAcentral is "lincRNA". The record is from RNAcentral. Lineage: Eukaryota; Metazoa; Chordata; Mammalia; Primates; Hominidae.
AGCGCUUUGUCUCCCUAAGUGGCUAACUGAGGUGUGAAAGGGUCUGUGGUGAGUGGACAAAGGAGCACAAAGGGCAAAAGAUGAGGAAAUGGAGGCUUCAAGGUCAAACCCCUUGCCCAGAGACAUGCAGCAGAAAGUGAUGAAGCUGAGAUUUGAACUUGCACCUGUCUGACUGCAAAUCCCAUCUCUUCCUGAUGUGCCAGAGACAGCAGAAGGGCCCACGGCUCUGUAGAUGUGGCCUAUUAGCCUCUCAAGUCUAGAGCAAGCCCCUCAGUGUGGGGCCCCUCCCUAGCUGCACUUCCUGCCACACCUGUCCUUCAAGCAGCCGCCUUUCUUUAGAACCCCACAUCUACUGUGGUGAUCACUCUGCAUAGCUGCUUUAGAAACAUAUGAAGAUAACAGAAGGAUCUCAUCUGCAACCCAGAGCUCUCUGUGCCUGGUGGUGACUCCCAAGAAGCUCCCAUAAGGAAGAGGCCCCUCAAAGAACACACUGAACACAGUGGACCCUCUGCUGCC